Molecule: ribosomal RNA, 440 nt
Filed under: uncultured bacterium
Lineage: Bacteria
Description: partial 16S ribosomal RNA
Rfam family: Bacterial small subunit ribosomal RNA
Source: RNAcentral
CCUACGGGUGGCAGCAGUAGGGAAUAUUGCACAAUGGGGGAAACCCUGAAGCAGCAACGCCGCGUGGAGGAUGAAGGUUUUCGGAUUGUAAACUCCUUUUGUUAGAGAAGAUAAUGACGGUAUCUAACGAAUAAGCAUCGGCUAACACCGUGCCAGCAACCGCGGUCAUACGGAGGGUGCAAGCGUUACUCGGAAUCACUGGGCGUAAAGCGCGCGGAGGCGGGAUAGCAAGUCAGAUGUGAAAUCCUAUGGCUUAACCAGAGAACUGCAUUUGAAACUGUUAUUCUUGAGUAUGGGAGAGGUAGGUGGAAUUCUAGGUGUAGGGGUAAAAUCCGUAGAGAUCAAGAGGAAUACUCAUUGCGAAGGCGACCUGCUAGAACAUAACUGACGCUGAUGCGCGAAAGCGUGGGGAGCAAACAGGAUUAGAUACCCUUGUAGUC